Marmota monax (woodchuck) is the source of this 2310-nucleotide long non-coding RNA. RefSeq lists it as uncharacterized. The record is from RefSeq and is a predicted model, not a curated record. Lineage: Eukaryota; Metazoa; Chordata; Mammalia; Rodentia; Sciuridae. The transcript is spliced from 4 exons.
GUCCACUCCAAAGUGUGCUCCCUCUCCCAUUUGGAGAGCUUGAGGUCGAGGGCAGAGCACCUGUCCCGGAGCUUGGUUUAAAGGGCCAUAAUCAGAUCAAAGUCCUAUUGUACUUCAACAUAGAUACAGCUGUCGGGAAGCUGAAAAGAAAACAUGUUAAACAAGCAUAAAAUGGAGUCAGGUCAGAACAAAAUGGCAUUGCUUUGGUUCUUUUCCAUUUCAAAAGAAUUUCCAGUACUCCUGAAGGACAAAUUGGCAGCAAAAAUGGCACCACAGCUUUUGCCACAAUGAGAGGCAACGUCACCAGCUAUGGCAGUAUAAGAAGAAGGCACCCUUAACUUUAAACAUCAGCAGCUUGGCGUCAGCAUCACCAGAAGGGCUGGUGAUCAAACCCAAGGCCUCACACAUGCUCAGCAACUGCUCUACCAUGAGCUACACCCCAGCCCACCUUAUUGGUUUCUGUAUCCUUUAUGAGGACACUGAAUAGAUGCUGUCGACAUCUCUCAGACUGAAGCUGAGAAUUUCCACCUUUACAGACUCGUGAUAUAAUAAGAAAAAUGAAAGAAAAAAAGUCAAAAUUUAUUUAUAAAAAUUGUAAUUAUUUUAAAUGUUGAAAUUAAAUACUGAAAAUACUUGAACUUCUAGCUGGGUAGGGUGGUACAUAACUGUAAUCCCAGCAGCUCAGGAGGCUGAGGCAGGAGGAUCACAAGUUCAAAGCCAGCCUCAGCAACUUAGUGAGGCCCCGAGCAACUGUUUCAAAAUAAAAUAGAAAAACAUACAAAUCUAUGAUGAUCUAUAAAUAAGAUAUACAUGUAAAGUAUACCAGUGAAGAUUUUUUGUUUGUUUUCAACUUUAAGUGUAGAUAGAAUGAGAAGUGAUAUCAAAGUGGGCUGAGUGGGGUGGGGCCAAAUGGACCCCACCCUGUUCCUUCAGUCCCAUCUCCAAUUAAAGAUAGGCCUAACUUUUUGAAUACACACACUAUUAAAACACUUAAGAUCGAAAGUGUAUGUUAUAGAAAUUGUGUGCUUCAAAUAUUGCCUAUUAGGUAUAAACACGACUAUCUAUCUUGUCAAUACAACGUGGAAAACUACACUGAUCUUAUCAUUACAACUUAAAACUGUGGCUUUUCUUUGUACUGUCUGCUUUGGCUGUUGGGGGAACCCACCGACAGAGGAGGAUUUGGGCUUUGCAGGCAGACAAGUAGUCACAGUAUCUUGAGUUAGAAUUGUGGAAUCAUAGGCUACAAGAAUCAGAAGGAAUUUGGAUUUAUUUGUUAAACUUUCCUCUGGCUCAGGAGAUAAAAACAAAAUGUCCUUAAGGCCACUGAUAAGCCAAAACCAGAAGCCAGUCCUCCUGAGGGCCCAAGAGGCUUUGUUUUUACAAACACGCUUAACAUGAAGCAGAUGCCCCAGAUUAUUCAAGCAUGCAUCUCCCUUCUUAGAAUAAAUUUUAGCUAGCUUUGCCAUUUGUCCUGGAUAUCUGAUACCAUGAUAAGCCAUGCAUUGUGACUCUAAAGUGAAGAGAAGUGAAAUGUCUGUGUUAAUCCUGUGAAACGUUUCAUUCUGUACUCCUAAAUUUUCAAAAGCAAAUAUACCCCCAAAAGCUACUAUGUAAGCUAUACUUAAGUCAGGAUGAAUCCCAUUAACACAGUGGAUGGAGUGAGUCACAGCACAUAGAACACGUAGGACCUGAUUCAUAUAUAUAAGGUCCAAAAAAGUAAAAGUGACAUAGGCUGGUAGAAGUCAAGGUUCUGGUUACCAAUCUUUGUGGCCAGGGUAGUAAAUGGAAGGGGACACAAAGAGGAGCUGCCAGAGUCUUGCUCUCAGGCAGCAGCUAAGAGUUACUAGAGUUUAUAAAGGUCUAUGCUUAUGGCAUAUGUUCUUUUGUAAUCUGAUGAACAGUUUCACAAAAGAAGGGAGGUAGUAAUGGGUCCACUGUAAUGUGCUUGGGAUGAGCAACAUUCAGAAACACAGCUAUUUUUUUUAUUAGUUGCUCAUGACAAUACAAUGAUCUUGACAUAUCAUACAUUUGAUUCAAAUGGGGUAUAAAUUCUCAUUUUUCCAUGUGUACAGGUUGCAGGAUCACAUUGGUUAUACGGCCAUGUAUAUACAUACAGCAAUACUAGUGUCUAUUGUAUUCUGCUGCCCUUCCUAUCCCCCCCUCCCCUACCCUCCCAUCACCUCACUCUACCCAAUCUACUGUGACAUAUUUCCACAGCUAUUAUCCUGUUGUUCUAUAGACCCCAUCUCUACAGUCACAUCUAGAAGCAUGAAAUCUACUUUCUACUGGACUUUUUUUUUACUGCAACAA